UACGGAGGAUCCGAGCGUUAUCCGGAUUCAUUGGGUUUAAAGGGUGCGUAGGCGGGCUAUUAAGUCAGUGGUGAAAUCCUGCAGCUUAACUGCAGAACUGCCGUUGAUACUGAUAGUCUUGAGUUUGGUUAAGGUAGGCGGACUGUGUAAUGUAGCGGUGAAAUGCUUAGAUAUUACACAGAACACCAAUUGCGUAGGCAGCUUACUGAGCCGACACUGACGCUGAGGCACGAAAGCGUGGGGAUCAAACAGGAUUA
This 257-nucleotide ribosomal RNA is filed under the name uncultured prokaryote. RNAcentral's name for it is "partial 16S ribosomal RNA". It matches the Rfam family "Bacterial small subunit ribosomal RNA", at positions 524 to 780 of the family's 1533-position model. The record is from RNAcentral.